AUGCAAGUCGAACGCAGUAGCAAUACUGAGUGGCAAACGGGUGAGUAUAAUGUGGGAAUCUGCCUUUUGGUUUGGAAUAACACGGGGAAACUUGUGCUAAUACCGAAUAAGCCCUUACGGGGAAAGUUUUAACGCCGAAAGAUGAGCCCGCACUUGAUUAGCUAGUUGGUAAGGUAAAAGCUUACCAAGGCAACGAUCAAUAGCUGUUCUUAGAGGAAGACCAGCCACAUUGGGACUGAGACACGGCCCAGACUCCUACGGGAGGCAGCAGUGGGGAAUCUUGCACAAUGGGGGAAACCCUGAUGCAGCGAUGCCGCGUGAGUGAAGAAGGCCUUUGGGUUGUAAAACUCUUUCGUCGGGGAAGAAAAUGUCUGUACCCGAAUAAGAAGGUCCGGCUAACUUCGUGCCAGCAGCCGCGGUAAUACGAAGGGACCUAGCGUAGUUCGGAAUUACUGGGCUUAAAGAGCUCGUAGGUGGUUAAAAAAGUUGAUGGUGAAAUCCCAAGGCUCAACCUUGGAACUGCCAUCAAAACUUUUUAGCUAGAGUGUGAUAGAGGUAAGUGGAAUUUCUAGUGUAGAGGUGAAAUUCGUAGAUAUUAGAAAGAACACCAAAUGCGAAGGCAACUUACUGGGUCACUACUGACACUGAGGAGCGAAAGCAUGGGUAGCGAAGAGGAUUAGAUACCCUCGUAGUCCAUGCCGUAAACGAUGAGUGCUAGACGUUGGAAAUAUAUUUUUCAGUGUCGCAGCGAAAGCAUUAAGCACUCCGCCUGGGGAGUACGACCGCAAGGUUAAAACUCAAAUGAAUUGACGGGGACCCGCACAAGCAGUGGAGCAUGUGGUUUAAUUCGAAGAUACGCGCAGAACCUUACCAACGCUUGACAUGUUCGUCGCGAGACUAAGAGAUUAGUUUCUUCAGUUCGGCUGGACGAAACACAGGUGCUGCAUGGCUGUCGUCAGCUCGUG
RNAcentral lists this ribosomal RNA (965 nucleotides) under uncultured marine bacterium. Its description in RNAcentral is "bacterial SSU rRNA". It matches the Rfam family "Bacterial small subunit ribosomal RNA", at positions 55 to 1064 of the family's 1533-position model. The record is from RNAcentral.